RNAcentral lists this long non-coding RNA (2574 nucleotides) under Nasonia vitripennis (jewel wasp). RNAcentral's name for it is "uncharacterized LOC116738654". The record is from RNAcentral. Lineage: Eukaryota; Metazoa; Arthropoda; Insecta; Hymenoptera; Pteromalidae.
AGACCAUCUUCGCGUGGGUUAGAACGGCCAUGCCGGCCACGUACAUCUCGGGUAUUUUACCACAAAGAGGAUAUCCUUGUAGACGCCAAGCAGCUUCCAUUGGGCUUAAAUAUCUACCAUCUACAUACUGAGUGAGUUCAUCAUGUACUAUGGGAGUUUCUUCGCUAGAAUUAUUUGGAUUUUCAAUUUUUUUCAUCUUACAUAAUGCUCUAUCUCCACCUUUGUGAAUAUAAUCGAAUAUGUAUUUAAUACUUUGAAUUGAUGCACAAUAAAAAGUUAUUAUAAGGAACAACCAUUGUGUUGUCAACUGGAAUAAUUUUUCUAAAUUUUUUAAUUCGAUAAGUAUAGUUUUGUGAAAUGUUAUUUCUUCUUCGAUAUUCAGGAUAACCAUUUUCUAUAAAAAUGGUGAUAUCGCGGAAUGGUUUUGGAAAUUUUUUUUUACAAAUAGUCUUAUUUUUGAUGAUGCAAGGAGAUUUAUCUGUCUGUGGUCCAUGUAACAUAUGUUUAAUUACUAAUUUUUGUAAACCUUUAUCUGAAUUAUCAGGAAUUUCAGCAGAAAUGUAUUUGUCAAUAGAUUGAGGUGUCAUGAGCUUGUUUUUUGGAUGUAGCGUAACUACAAUAUGAGCGUGUGGUAAUCCUCUCUUUUGAAAUUCUAUUGUAAACACAUAAGCUAUUACUUUUUAUCAUAAAGGUAACAUUUUUAAAUCAUCUAUUAUAAAAUAUUUUGGUUAUUAAGUAAAAAAAAUGAAUUUCUAUUUGAAUACCAAAUUGAUUUAUUUACAUUAAUUUCAGAAUAUAUCAGACAAUAAAAACGAGAGUUAAAAUAUGAUUUCAAGAUUAAAUUCCAAAAAAAAUCUACUAUCUAAAUUGACUAUCUACAGAUGAACUGUCCUUUUUUAAUUAUUUACAAUACUUUUAUAUAAAUAAAUAUUUACAUUUUUUAUACUCAAUUUAUUAUUUAUCAAUACAAUAUAAUAAAAACCACAAUAUGGGGUUGGCGAGCGGAGCAAGCAGUGGGAUACCCCCCCUAGUAUAUAUAUAUGUGUGUGUAUAAAGAGAAUAUGAUAGUUUAAUGUUAAGUCAUUUACUUUCAUCCACUUUUUCAAUAACUUUAUUCGAAAAAACUGAACAUUUUCUAUAAAAAACGCGUCUACAAAAUUUAAAAACAAGCUUACUUCCUGCAUGUUUUUAUACAAACUCCAAAAAUUAUUAUUAAAAGGCUUCCUUGAAGAUCAAUCUGGCUGCAGAAAAAAAUCGAUAGUUCAUGGCCUUAUUUUAUUGACUAAAUAGACUGAACGUAACAUCGACGUUACACAGAAUGAAGACUGCUGGCGACACAUCAAGUAAGGGGUCGGGGAAUAAACAAAACAAGCCCCUACAAAAAGAUUCUUAUGAUAUAAAUAUCUUGGAUUAAUUGUUUUCAAGACAACACAAAAACGUCGAAAACCUUGUAUUAGCUGCGUCAAAAGCAGAUGCACUUCUAUCUCAUAGGAAACUAAAUCAGCCGCUACACAAAUCGCAUAAGCCCGCGUAAUGAGUUGUUACACGAUAAAUCCCGACUAAAGGGCGAAAAGUUAAAACUGAAUAUAUUAAAAUUUAGUGCCGCUUAGACGUUUAAAUCUGCAUAUCCUGAAUGUUUCAGAAAAUUUUUUUAAAAACUAUUUUGUUAUAAAACGUCCUUGAGAAACAGCCAGAGCUAAUAAAAACGCAAUUUUUCUAUUGAGUAUAUUAUAUUGCUUAUUCUUAAUGAAACUUACAAUAAAAAAUGAAGAACACAGAGAGAGGUUGAUUGGACUUGUUUUGCCAAAUAACGUUAUUAUAAAUGGGUUUUAAUUAAUUGAACGAGCAGGAGGGCUUUUUUGGCAUUUGAAAUACGAAAUGUCCCGUGGCAGCGUUGCAAUCAAGCUUUAGAUCCGUCUGCACUCGCAACACUACACCUAUAUACAAUAAACUAUUCAAUUAUGGAAAAUAUUCUAUUGGUUGAGGUGAUUUUGAAAGUUAAAAUGCCAAAUUGUUCAAAAGAUACAGCUAUAAGUGAACAUUUUAUCAAAUUUCUGAUCCAGCAAAUGGUAUAUACAAGUGAUUUUUCUUAUUAUAGUGUACCAGUAAACAUAUCUUAAUGUCUUAGACGAAUUGUUUUCCCGAAGCCCGGCAGCUCACCUUGUAACUAAAAUGUUUCCAUUGCUUUCUGACAUAGCCGACUUAGGACAGGCAAAUGCUAUUAAAUAAUUUAGCAUACUUGUAACCUAAGUUGGCAUUUUAUUACACAGCACCGCGGUAUCCUACGCGCCGUGUGAUAAAGUAAGUACCACUUAGCAGGUCACAGGUAUCGUAAUGUACAUCAAUUUUAUUGAUAAUUGUGUGAUUGUUCUAUACAUCAGUAAAUCUUAAAAAUUUACUUAAUAAUGUGUUUACAAUUUGAUAUAGUUCAUAUAUAUAAUUUAUUACCAUUUUGCUGACAAUUUAUAUUUACAGUUAAAAUUUUAUUACUUGUUUUUAAUCAAAUUCUUAAAAUAAAUUAAAGUAUAACGUAUGCGUUUGGAAAUUGAAAGCUUGUUGAUGUACUAUCAGUCU